Molecule: ribosomal RNA, 115 nt
Filed under: Bacillus subtilis
Lineage: Bacteria; Bacillati; Bacillota; Bacilli; Caryophanales; Bacillaceae
Description: partial 23S ribosomal RNA
Rfam family: Bacterial large subunit ribosomal RNA
Source: RNAcentral
CAUUCCGCAAGGAAGUAAGAUCCCUGAAAGAUGAUCAGGUUGAUAGGUCUGAGGUGGAAGUGUGGCGACACAUGGAGCUGACAGAUACUAAUCGAUCGAGGACUUAACCACAUUU